GGUCAUCAAAGAGGCCAAACAACUGACUCCAACAACUGAGCUGUGCCGACUUCUAAAAGCUGCGGAGAAACUUGCAGAGAACGAUGAAACGGACUGGGACAGUGACAUCGCUUCUAUGCUGCUUCUUCUCUAUCUCUUGCCACCCACAGCUGGACGGAAGAGGACCAAAAUAAGUCCAAGUGAUGCAGUGGACAAAAUGGUGCACUUUCAUAAGUCAUGCUGCAGCAUCAAUGAAUAUCUGCAGGAAAGGGAGAGUAAACAACCAU
Long non-coding RNA from Perca fluviatilis (European perch), 266 nucleotides. RefSeq lists it as uncharacterized. The record is from RefSeq and is a predicted model, not a curated record. The transcript has 3 exons. Lineage: Eukaryota; Metazoa; Chordata; Actinopteri; Perciformes; Percidae.